UAAGUAGAACCAACAUCGCUUAACAACUUAUCAUGCGGCGAUCAAAUGAACGCUAAAUUGGGAGUCAUGUGAAUGAUUCUAUUAAUUUUGGUAGUUUACCCGUUUGUUGUUAUGAGCGUCACUAGUUCAUGCACUUCUCUUUGUGGUAACAGCACCACCCACUGGACAUAAACUGAAACACAUAUCACCAAUGGAUGGUAUUUAUUCAGGAAAAACAAGAGGAAACCUUACUGAACUUCCAUACUUGAUUACAUGAAUAUCAAUUUCCAUACUGAACUACUCUCUAAAGUAAAAUAACUAGAAGUCAUGUCAUACACAUUAGUUUUCAAUAACUAGCAGAUAUAAGAUGUUCAGCACAAACAACAAGCUACUUGCACCAACAAUGCACUAAGCUGGAAUAAGGUAAUUGAUGAAAGCUUCCACGUUAGGAGCAAAAGUUCUCAUGAUGUCGUGUGCGGCCAUUUCAUCGUCCUCAAAUUGGUACGCCGGGGCACAGGUCACUCCAACGAAGGAAUAGUGCAGGUCAGGGUCCCGUCCGGGUGUCUUGACAGAAACACUGCCGUCAUCAGUGAAGGACUCAAUGUCGUGGGUCAGGAGGGCGCCAAACCACACAUUCGGAGGGACCGUGUACUGCGUCUCUGCCCUUUCCGUAGAUCGGGACCGACUACUAUCAUCUUGACUUCCUCAUCAUCAUCCACCUCAAAUACCUGAAAUGGGUAUUAUUGGAUAGAUGGGCAGUAUGCUUACAGAAUGCCCCAAGCACGAUGGCGGCCUCGGGGUCUGCUCUCUCGAGGAGCAAAAACGCGGCCUCCUCCUCAAGCUCCUCCAUCGGGUACACCAACCGCAACAAGAGUAAAUUGCACAAAACUACCAGUUUGAAGGCUAGGUUUGCGAAAAACACUACAAUACAUUUUUUUACAAAAAAACACUGUAUCUACUGUAAUCUUUUUGCAAAUAACACUGAUCGGCGGAUUUGUGUCUGUUGAGUAUGUUUAUGACAAAUGGGGCCCGUCAGUCAGACUGACGUGGCACCGCUUAACACCUCGCAUGUAACGGCGAUGUUUGGGACGUUAUCCUCUUGUGUGGAGCCCUGUGGGGUCCACCUGUCACUGAAACAAAAAAUAAAAAAAUCUGGCAGUUCUCGCCUUAUACCAGCUCGCUGCCGCCCGUCCUGCCCCCGUGGUCAACGGCGCAUGCCCGGAGGCCCGCGCCCGACGCCACCACGCGCUGAUGAGCCGUAUUGCACAACCCCGUCGAUCUGACAAGGGGAGGGAGCAGUGGGCUGGCCGCCGACGUUGUUGCUUCGUCUCGUGCAUCUUGACCGCGACCUCCUCCGAACCAGAGCCACCGUGGUGCUCGAGCAGCGAGUCAUCACCUCCUUCCUCAGCCAUGGUGACCACCCUGCUCACUGGCUACUGCAGCUCCUACGUCGAUGGCGGCUCGAGCGUAGAGGCAGAGGCACCAGCUGGAUUGGAGCGGGAGAAUAGAUCUGAGUGUGGAAGGCGCCGACGACUCGGUUGUCGUCGCCCGUCCCGACCCCAGCCAAGGCAAGGGCCGUCGUUGCUAUUGCCGCAUCGAGGGGGAGGCAUAGGACGCCACCAGUCCCGCCCUCGGCCGAGGGGCGGCCUUCCGCCACGCGCCAAGGACGUCGUGCAUCGCCGGGGUCGCCGACCUCAUCCAAGUCCCACCAACGCUCGCGGCGGAGGAGCACGAAUCCAAGGUACAGAGAGGGCGGCGACUUGAUUCUUGCCGGAUCUGGGUGAGGGCUGGUUAACGGCGGUGAAUUUCGUGGAGUUCAGGGGCAAUGGUGAUGGGCGGCAGCGGCGCUCCUGCAUGUUGCUGGCUCGGGGGGAGAGAGAGAAAUCAGGGUGAAAUGCUGACAAGUGGGCCCCAUGUCCAGUAAAACGGUUCAACUUAACGGUGUUAGAAAUUGGUGCCACAUCAGCCCGACUAGCGGGCUCCAUCUGUCAUAAACGUGCUCAGCCGAGGCAAAUUCGUCGAUCAGUGUUAUUUGCAAAAAAGAUUACCAUGGACAUGGUGUUUUUUGCAAAAAAAUGUAUUGUAGUGUUUUUCGCAAACCUAACCUUCAAACUGGUGGUUUUGUGCAAUUUACUCACCGCAACAAUCUGCUUGGGCGGUUUGGUUCAGGCCGGAAUUUCAGGGGUGUGAGGACAAACAUGCACUUCUUACUACGGUCUGGCGCCGUGUCUCAUAGCUGCUCCCUAUGUACAACGACAGAAAAACCUCCUUCUGGUCGGACUCCUGGAGCAGUGGUGGAUGGACCGCUUCGGCUGAAGUUCCCAGCGCUCUACUCCCAUGCCACUGAUUUUUUUGCCUCGGUCAGCAAGAUCCUUUUUUCCGAGCUUCGUUCCUUCUUUGCACCCAGGCUAUCGUCGAUGGCUGAAGAAGAGUUCAAAUGCCUCGGGCGGCCAACCCCCAGUGGCUAAAUCCUGGUGCUGAAGACUGCCAGGUGCUGAGAUACAGCAUUGACAGGCAGCAAAGCCUUCAUAUCCUCUGUUUACAAGCUGAUCACCUACUCUACGUGUGACGACAUGGCGUUCCGACUGAUGUGCCCAAACUUGCAGCGCCUCAUCGCUGCUGCUUCUGAUGACCUCAAAACUUGGGCCUUCCAUUCAAAAGCUGAUGCUAGGACCUCGAUCAUGUCCUGGGUGUCGUUCCGUUCAUACAUGCUCUACGCGUCUAGCUUACAGAGCUGCCUCUGAACCUCUGUACCCUAUCUCUGUACCUCCCCUUUUUGUGUAGUUCACCUUCAACUUGUUUGCCAUACAUGGUGCUUGAAAAAGUAUUUAUGGAUAGGUUAAAGAUAAGGCUUACCACCAUAGAUUUGAGUGUCUCUGCUAUUCGGUCUGUUUGUUGUAACAUCUCAAAGUUAAGGUAGUGAUGGCUCAUGUGAUUUGAGAGAUAAUUCAAUGUCUCGUUGUUCUGGCGGGGGGCUCGUAGGCACAAGGAUGAUAAACCCUUUGAAUGUUUAUGUGCCUUGUCAUAGCCCCAAACUCACAAGUUAAAGCAAAAUUAUACCACAAAAUUGGCUAAGCAGAGUUCUAUGGCAACACAAGACCUUAAACACUUUAAUGUUCUAGGCUGAUGUCACCAAGUCACAGAUUUUGAUGGUACUCCCUCCGUUUCUUUCUACUCCACGUAGAAGAAUUCUCUGAAGUCAAACUUCAUAAAGUUUGACCAAAUUUGUAAUUAAAAAUAUUAAUAUCUAAUACUAAAGAUAUACAAUAUGAAAAUUAAUUCAAUGAUGCAUCUAACGAUCUUGAUUUAGUAUUGUGAAUGCUGAUAUUUCUUCCAUAAACAUAAAACAUGGUCAAACUUUUACGAAGUUUGACUUCGAACAAAUUGUAUAUGCUGAGUGGAAAGAAACAAAUGGAGUAUAUGUUCGAGACAACAAAAAUUUUGGUUUGGUUAUGACUUGCAUAAUUUAGUUGGCCAACAAAAAGGCAGAAGUAUAAAAGAUAUAGAAACCUAUCAACAUAAUGUUAUUGAUUAAUGCUCAUAAACCAGCACAUCCAUAUGUAAGCCUAAACAAACAAGCACUAACUGACGGAUACUUACAAGAAGAAGAAAAACUAAUGGAUUAAAAUAUUUGUUGGAGAUCCUAGAGAAGAUUUUCAUUUUACUAACCUUCAAGCGUUUAGGAAAUCUCAUAAAGGGUAAGUCACAAAUAAUAUAUGCAAGGUUCAUGUUAUUUCUACAAUUAUACUAAAACAUGGACUGCAUCAUCAAAUAUAAUUAAACAGCAAGUCUGCUUGUAUUUGCUCUAGCAAGAAACCAGGGUUUAGUAAUACGGGGGUUUGCACAUCCUAAACAGUUUGGAUAACCCUGUGUCCCCAUUUUCCCAUCAGGGUGGGAUUGUGCUCACAACAAGCGUGGGUGCCAACGACUAGCAGGCAUCACCACAAGCAGUCACAAAUCGACAGGGCGCCACCUACGCCUAGCAAUGUGUGUGCCAUACCGCAGGUCUGCAAGUAUUUGAGGAGGAGUGUCAGUGGCACACGAGGCCAUAAUAGGCAAUACCUACAAAGCACAUUAAUUUGCGCUUUGAUUUUUGGUUCACUAGUUAUAAUAUCAUGGAACGCAAUCAAGAAUUGUUUUUUUUCGUGUGCUAUCAAGAAUUGUUGAUGAAAUUAGACGGCCUCGGGGCACUGUCUUGUCAACUUUGCCUGAGUUGAUGAUUAGUGCCAUUUCGACAAGUUGUGCUAAAAAGCAAUCGCAUCUGAAGGCUCUAGUUUGCAACUGACCGGUCGCAAAUUUUUGCCCUACUGUAAGGCCGGACGGUCCAAUCCAUCAAGUAACCAGCUUACAUUUUGUCUUGCAACCCUCCUCUCUUAUGCCUCUUCUUCCCAUACUUAUUGAACCAGAAGCCAUACAAGUGCUGCUUCAUCGAAGCCGGCAUGAUAAUUUGGUGUGCAGCCCAACUGCAGCAUGUUGGUCUAAUGAUGGACAAAGAACUGAAGCGCAUAAAAAACGACUGAGCCAACAUGGCAGGAGGAUGAGUCUUGGAGCUAAGCACGAUCGAGUGGAUGUUGCAAUUUGAGUUAUCCAUCAAUAAUUCCUGCUGCCUUCUAUGCCUUUGUCUAUCAAAUUCAAACCUCUUUUGCCUAGAACCACGACAAAUAUUGCACGGAAAUGAAUUCUAAGGCAGAAGCAAACUAAGGAACGAGUUAUUCCUAAGGGAAGCCUUGCUCCUUAUAAAAGAGUUAUGUGGUAGACAUUGGUAUGAAAUUAUUGGUCCUCUGGUAGGUCAAUAGCUAUGAAUCCUUUGGUUAUGAGCUCGCUCCUUUGGUAGGUUAUAAGCCACUAUGAGAGCUUUAUCGAUCUUUUGAAUAAAUUAACUUAGCCUUUUCAACCUAUACAUCUAGAAGUCACCUAGCAAAAAAACAUUGUAUUGUUACAAAGUUCACGAAAAAUAAAGCCUGGCGGCUAACAUUCCAUCAACAAAGAGAAAACGCAUGCUAAGUAGAACCAACAUCGUUUAACAACUUAUCAUGCAGCGAUCAAAUGAACGCUAAAUUGGGAGUCAUGUGACAUGCACUUCUCAUUGUCUGUAAGACCACUACCCACUGGACAUAAACUGAAACAGACAUCAGCAAUGGAUGGUAUUUAUUCAGGAAAAAAGAGAGCAAACCUUACUGAACUUCCAUACUUGAUUACAUGUAUAUCAACUCCCAUACUGAAACUCUCUAAAGUCAAAUAAUUCGAUGUCAUAUCAUACACAUUAGUUUUGAAUAAUUGGCAGGUAUAAGAUGUUCAACACAAACAACAAGCUACUUGCAGCAGCAAUGCGCUAAGCUGGAACAAGGUAAUUGAUGAAAGCUUCCAUGUUAGGAGCCAAAAUUAGCAUGCCAUCGCGCGUGGCCAUUUCGUCGUCCUUGAAUUGGUAAUUGGUAUACGGGGGCAUAGGUCACUCCAACGAAAGAAUAGUGCGGGUCAGGGCCCCGUCCGGGUGUCUUGACAAAAACACUAUAGUCAUCAGUGAAGGACUCGGUGUCGUGGGUAAGGAAGGCGCCAAACCACACAUUCUGAGCGACCGUGUACUGCGAUCUCUGCCCUUUCCGUAAAUCAGGACCGACUACUGUCAUCUUGACUUGCCCAUCAUCAUGCUCCUCAAAUAUGUGAAAUGGGUAGUAUAUUGGAUAAGAUGGGCAACAUCCUUAGAAAAUGAUAAGCAACUUUUGUUUGUAGGUAAGUUUUCAGACUGUGAGGGCUCCCCCGUGUAGUAGUGGCAUGUUUCACCGGGGAUGCAGUGCAGCCGAGUGAUCUCCCCAGCAAGCAGCAGGAAAUAGAUUGCACUACUCACAGCAUGGUCCACCUUAUCUACAUGAAUUAAACACGAAGUAACAAAUUAGGAAACUACUAUUUCUUAACAAAAGCUAUUCUUCAGAAACCUCAGCACAACCAAGUGAUCAACAUAUGAUUUCCUUGGUCCCAACUUUAGAAACUAAAAAAUAUCAGAAGUGAAUAGACACUGCAUUUAUAUUAGCCAAUUACGGAAGUUUUGAGUGCAUAGUGCUUGAAAAGGUAUGUAUGGAUAUGUUCAAGAGAAGGCUUACUACCAUGUGUAUGCGUGUCUUGACUAUUAAAUCUAUUUGUUGUAACAUCUGAAAGUUAACAUAGUGAUUGUUCAUGUGAGCUGAGAGAUAAUUCAGUGUAUCGUUUUCUGACAGGGGGCUCAUAUGCACAAGGAUGCUAAAUCCUUUGGAUAUUGGUGUGUGUUAUCAUAGACUCAAACUCACAAGUUACAAUAGAAUUAUAGCACAAAAUUGGCUAAGCAGAGUCAUACAACAAUAUAAGGCCAUAAAAACUUACUAUGUUAGGCUGGUGUUGCCAAGUGAAAGAUUUUGAUGGCAUAUGUUGGACAUAACCAACAUUUUGGCUUGGUCAUGACAUGCAUGAUUUACUUGGCUGGCAAACAGGCAGCAGUAUAAAAGAUAGAGAAACCUCUCAUCAUAAGUUUAUUGAUUAAUGCUCAUAAAUCAGCAGCUCCGCCUGCAAGGUUCAGAAAACCAGGACUAACUGACGGAUUUUUCAACAAGAAAGAUUAGAUGGAUUACAAUAUUUGUAAGAGAAGUUUUUCAUCAGAAACAUGUAUGGGGUUAGGUAACCCCAUAACCGUAAGUCAUAAUUUGUAAAUGACAUAGGCCAAGUCUGGGCCAUGUUCCUGUUAUUUCUACAAUUUAUAUUACUACAUGGACUGCAUCACCAAAUAUAAAUAGCAAGUCUGCUUGUAUUUUCUUGAGCAAGAAGUUAAGGUUUGGUACUACGGGGGUUUGCACAUCCAAAUGAGUUUGGAUAACCCUGAGUCCCCGGUUGAUCAUUAUUUGAGAAUAUCUUCAGUGUGCAUUACUCGAAAAUAUUGACAUGAAUAAUUUUCUGAAUUAGCAGAUGAACGGCAAUUUUUAAACCGGGGAGUAACUGAGGGCAAGAAGUAUAGAAGUCAUUAGUGGCGAGUUUCAUCUUUCCCCACAACCAUUGGAUGGAAAAGCAUGAAAUCGAAUUAAAUAUUUUUGAAAGGUUCAGAUUUGAGGACUAGCAACAAUUUUCUAGCCAAUAAAAUGCUAAAUUUGUUAUCUUCGGUAGAUUACACAGGUAUAGCACAUAAGAAGGAUGUUGAUGGUAACACUUCACAAGCACCCCAUAAACCAAGCAAUGAUGCAUCACUCACAGAUAUUGGCACAUUUCCUGAUCUAAAUCAAACUAAUUGCCAUCAAUUAAUCUGAAACCCACUUCGCAAAAUGGACUGCGCAGUUGCUUACAAUCAUUGAAACCUCGUGGACUAGUGUUUCUACCAUUCUGGAAGCUCUAGUCCGAGUGGUCUAAUCUAAGAGUGCAAAAGCCCAAUGCGAGAAAAAUCUAGGUGAACGCCUAAAGCUACAUCAAGGCAAGCUUACAGCAGUGUCAGAGCACAGAAAUGGGGAGCACAACAAAGGACCCCAUUUUCCCGUCGGGGCGACAUUGUGCAAGCGACACGCUAGGGCACCCAAGGUUAGCAGGCAUCACCACAAGCAGUCACCAAUCGACAAGGCACCACCUACGGCUCACAAUGCAUGUGUCGUACCGCAAAUCUGCAGAGUAUACGAGGAGGAAUGUGAGAGCACGCAAGGCCAUAAUAGGCAAUAGCUACAAAGCGCAUUCAUCGGUGCUCUAAUUUUUGGUUCACUAGUUACAAUAUCAAGGAGCGCAAUCAAGAAUUGUUGAAGAAAUUAAACGGCCUUGGGGCCCAGUCAUGUAACUUUUCCCUGAGUUGUUGAUUGGUCCUACUGUAAGGCUUUAAAGUGAUGUCCAUCGAGUGGCUAUGCUGCUUGUUUCUCUUGGCCCUCAUCUCCUUCUGCCUCUUCUCCUGGUGCUUAUUGACCCGUAUGAGUGCUGGUUCAUCUGAGAUGGCAUGCAAAUGCGAUGUAUAGCACAAACUGCAGCAUGUUGCUCCACUGUUAAGCACAGGGAGAGUGCUCGUAAUGAACACAUGAGCCGGCAGAGCAAGAGGAGGAGACUCGGAGCUAAGCACAAACGAGUGGGUGUUGUAAUUUGAUUUAUCCAUCAAUAAUUCCCGGUGCCUUCUAUGCCUAUGUCUAUCGAAUUCAUUCCCUUUAGUGCGAAGACGUAACAAAUAAAGCACGAAAUAGGUAAACCAUGGAAUGAGUUAUUCCUUGGAAAGCCUUGCUCCUUAUAAAAUAGCUGUGUGACUAGACAGUGGCUUGAACUCAUCAAUAGCUAAGAAUCAUUUGGUUAUGAGCUUGGUCCUUUGGUAGGUUAGCCACUAUGAGAGCUUUAUCGAUCUUUUAAACAAAUUUGAUUAACAUUUUCAACUUAUACAUCUAGAUGUUGCACAUAGCCAACCAACAAAUUAUAAUUACAAAGUUCAUGGAAAAUAAAGUCCAACAACUUACAUUCCAUCAUCAAAAGGAAACACGGGCUAAGUAGAACCAACAUCACUUAGCAACUUAUCAUGCAGUGAUCAACAUCAACCAUAAUUUGGGAGUCACGUGGAGGAUUCUAUGUAAAUGUAGGUAGUACAUGCUUCUGCAGAGUGGCACUAGUUCAUGUCACCAGUUCAUGCUCUUUAGUUUGAAGUUAAAAAAGCCACCUACUGAACAUAAACUACUCACAAGAAACAAGAGCAAACCAUACUGAACUUCCAUACAUAACUAGAACACCAUGAUUGCAUGAACAAUAACUCCAAUACUAGGGAUCUUCCUCCUGCAGGUUCGUCUGUCCAACCACCUCUCCCCGCUUCCCCUGUUCGCCUUGUUUUACCUGCAUUAUCGGAUGACCAUUUGCUUCAUAUUAUGUCUGAUAUUGGGGUGGCUGCUGAACCGGGUUUGGGCUCUCCCUCUCACCUACUUUCUGUCAUUAGGGCGAAUGAGGCAGCCCAGACUGCCAUUGCUAAAGCCGUGGAGGCUGCGUGUGUCGCUGGCCCUGCUGGGGUUCAGGGUCAGUCUGGGGCGGGUGGUGCGACAGAUGGUUGUGGCCAGACGUCCUCACCCCCCGCUCAAGCUAAGAAAGGUCACUCCAAGUGCUCUAAGGCUUGUUUGGCCCCGCGCAGAUCUAGCCUUCAUAUUAAAAACCUUACCUUCAAAUGAAAGCUCUAUUCUGGAAUAUUCGUGGUUUCGGUGCUAGGGGGCGCCGAGACUAGAUCCAUGACUUAGUUUGUGGAGAACAUAUUGACAUUUUAGGCUUGGUUGAAACAUUUAAGGAAUCCUUCUCUUCUCCUGAACUUUCGGCGGUGGAUGGUAUGGACAGGUUCGACUGGCACUUUCUCCCUGCUUCAGGCCAUUCUGAGGGUAUCUUGAUAGGGUCCAAGCGGGACGUUUUCGACUUCAUUGCCUUUGAUCAUGGUAUUUUUUUGGGCUAGUUAUGUGGUCCAUCACCGUCAGCUGAAUACUCUAUGGGAAUUUAUGGUGGUUUACGGCCCCACGGAUCGUUCGCUUGCCCCUCUUUUCUCGAUGAACUUUCGAAUAAGAUUGAAGCGUGUACUAUUCCUCUUCUUACUGGGGGUGACUUCAAUUUGUUACAGACUCCGGCGGAUAAGAAUAAUUCUAAUUUUUCUUGGACUCUUGCCAAUGCUUUUAAUGAUUUCAUUAGUAGUUGUGCGCUCCGCGAGCUCCCUAGGGUGGGGGGCGCGGUUCACUUGGUCUAACCACCAGUCCUCUCCUGUCCGGUCGGUGCUAGAUAGGGUUUUUGUUUCUGAUAGGUGGGAUUUGCUUUUCCCUCGUGCGCUGCUUAAAGCCAGGCCUGCGGUUGGCUCUAAUCAUGUCCCCCUGGUCGUUGACGCGGGCAUCCUCUCCCUUGUGUCUCCCUCCCGUUUCCGGUUCGAUGCCUCAUGGCUUGUUGUGGAAGGCUUCUGUGAGAUGAUGGUUUCUAAGAUCUCUAAUCUUCUCUCUUCCCCUCGACGUUCCUUUGGCCCCAUGGAUGAUUGGCACAAACUGUCAUAUGAGCUUCAUAAAUUCUUAAGGGGUUGGUCUCGGAAUAGGGCUGCUGAGCUCCGUAGAGACAAAGAUAGUCUUGAAUCUCUGCUUCGGGAUCUGGAUCACUCUGCUGACGUGUCUGGUCUCUCCCCCUCUCAGUGGGCUACUCGCUAUUCCCUGGAAGACGCAUUGAAGUUGUUGCACCAGCAGUCGGAAAUUUACUAGCGUCAGCGAGGAGCCCUUAAUUGGACAUUGAAGGGUGAUGCCAUGACGGCCUAUUUCUUUGCGAUCGCUAAUGGCAGACGAUGUCGAUGCUUCAUUGACAGUUUGAUGAUUGACGGCAUCAGAACCUCGGACCAGUCCCUCAUUAUGAGCCACAUCGUUGGUUUUUAUUCCAAUCUGCUCGGCUCUAAGUCGGACCCUGGUCUUGCCCUCUCUUCCGACUUCUGGGAUGUGGGUUGUAGGAUCUCUCCAGACGAAAACAUGGAACUGUUGGUCCCUUUUUCCUACGAGGAGAUUUGGAUGGUGAUCAGUUCGGCUAACCCGAACGCUGCCUCGGGGCCUGAUGGGUUUUCGAUCCCCUUCUUUAAGAAAUUUUGGCCGCAGUUGCGGAAUCUCAUAUGCAAUAUUAUACAAGGGUUCUAGUUGUGAACGGUGGACAUUUCUCGCCUCAACUACGCUGUCAUUACUCUUAUACCGAAAGUCAAGGGAGCAGACUUGAUUUCACAAUUUAGGCCUAUUGCCCUUAUCAAUAAUUUCGCCAAGUUUCCUGCCAAAGGGCUAGCCACUCGCCUCUCCCCCAUUGCCCAUCGGACCAUUAGCCCGUUUCAGUCGGCUUUUAUUAAGGGCCGUUUCAUUUUGAACGGGGUUCUUUGCCUUCAUGAAAUUGUUCAUGACCUCAAGAUUCGCCAUUCAAAAGCGAUGAUUCUUAAACUAGAUUUUGAGAAGGCUUAUGAUUCCGUGAGUUGGCCUUUUCUGCGUAGGGUUCUAUUAGCUAAAGGUUUUGACGGACCCCUUGUUCAUAGAAUCAUGCGGUUGGUCUCGGGAGGCCACACUGCCAUCAAUGUUAAUGGUCAGGUUAGCAAGUUCUUUGCCAAUGGUAGGGGCCUACGGCAAGGUGACCCUGCCUCGCUCAUUUUGUUCAACUUUGUUGUGGAUGCCUUAUCCCGCUUGCUAUCUAGGGCAGCUACCUAUGGGCACAUCUCUUCGGUUAGCUCUAAUCUUCUUCCCCAAGGUCUGACCCACCUCCAAUACGCGGACAACACUAUUAUUAUGGUUGAGCUGAACGAUGCCUGCCUUGCACACCUCAAGUUUAUCUUACUUUGCUUUGAGGCGAUGUCGGGCCUUAAGAUUAAUUUUGCCAAGAGUGAAGAGAUUUUUACUGGUGUGGACGAAUCAGAAGCUGUGCGUGUGGCACAUCUUCUCAGUUGUAAGUUGGGGUCCUUUCCGUUCAAAUACUUGGGCUUGCCUAUAUCCCCGGACGUGUUUCAUGCCAAAGAUUUUGCCCCGGUGGUCACAAAGGUGGGAAACAGGGUUCUUCCUUGGCGGGGUAGAUAUAAUACUCACUACUAGGAAAAGGCCUACUAAUGGCGCACCUAAUUUGGCCAUUAAUGGCGCAUUAGUGGUGCGCCAUUAGUAUAUUUUACUAAUGGCGCACCACAGGUGCGCCAUUAGUAUCUGGUAUACUAAUGGCGCACCUCAGAUGCGCCAUUAGUAUAUACAACAGUGCACCAUUAGUAUGCCUCCCAGGGGGCCAUGUAUACUAAUGGAGCACAACAACAAGAUGCGCCAUUAGUAACUUCGUCAUACUAAUGGCGCACUGUUUAAUGAUGCGCCAUUAGUAUACUUUGGCAUACUAAUGGCGCACUGUGAUGUGAUGCGUCAUUAGUAUGAAUAUUAGGUUUUUUUUAUUUUUUUAAUUUUUCUGUUUUUUGCACAGUUACAAAAUGUAUAAUUGGACAAAAUAUAGACAACACACAUCAACAACAGAUUCAUCGAAUACAAUAGAAGAUUAGUCUCUGAAUACAAUUCAUCAUAUUAGUCUCCGAAUACAAUUCAUCAUAUUAGUCUCCGAAUUGAAAAGACCGAACAAAGAUAGAACAUUAUAUUACAAGUCUCGAGACCGCGAGUAGCGAGUUUGUCUUCACAUUACAAGUCGAUAUCGAUCAUCUAAACUACCAUCACAUAGAAGAGAGCUGCGGUCAUCACGAUGAGCAUCAUCACGAUGAAACUCGUCUUCAUCCGGUUCCUCCAGCGCUCCCUCCCCUCUCCCGCUAGAUAGCGGGCGUAUCUAGAUUCGGCCUCGGCCCUAGUGGUGUACCCUUUGUAACUGUUACCGCUGAAUCGGUGAACCUGUCUCCGACACUCCUCCCAGUCGUCGUAGACUCCGGGAACCUUACCCUUGUACACGACAUACGACGGCAUCGCUAUGCAGUAGCCAAACGAAACGUUAGUACCAAUUCACAGACAAUACAUAAGCAAUAUAUAAGUAUGCAACAGAACGAUUGGAAGAGAAAAGCAAGACAUUAAUAGCAUCGAUUACAUCUAAGUUGAACGACUCUCGAAACCAAAGAGACAUACUACAAGUUUAUUAAAGUUUAAUUACAACAUGAGCCGAAUCGAUGUUUCAGAACUAGACACAGCAUCACUGCUUUCGACUCGACUCAAGGGACCGGAGCAUGGAUGAAGCCGCCGUCUAUCGUGGGAGUCAUGAAAUAACGGUCGUUGUCAGCCUGCAUUUGUAGCAUUGUGUCGAUGUCACUGUUGGACGGUUGAUUUCUGAGGUAGAACUGCCCCGAGGUACGAAGGACAUCUUGAUGGAUGAUUUCCGCAAACUCCGACUGGAUGCGAAAGAAUUCUUGUCUGAUGUCCGCGUCCUGGAUUGCCGACACGCUCGCGGCCCAAUCUUUGAGUUUACUCGGUAGCAGAAGUUGAUGAUGGUCCCGUACGAUCGCCCGCAUGUGAUGGAUGGCGUAGUAGGCACCCUUCUGACCGCCAGGCGGCUGCUUGACGCAGCAGAACAUCGUAUUGUGGGAGAACACGUGCUUGACGUACUUACGAAUAGGCCUGGUGAAGGUGCCUCCAGAUUUGACGUAGUCGGGGAGAACAUCAUCAAGAACCUUCUUGACAUUUGUGUAGUCUACGUUCGACUGACGGUCCGGGUCGAAAUACAUGGCCAUGGAAUAUUUGCGGCUUAGGAGGAUGAGCGUGCAAUGUGUGUCACUGCAGAAAACACGGAAUGUUAAAAGAAAAACGAUCGAAAUCUAAGAAUUCAUAUGUUACGGGGCAGUUGAGGGGAGGACUUACUCGGGAAAGUAAGGCACGAGGAAGUUAUCUUUAUCUUGGUUUGCCAGAAUGACGCCUUCGAGGUAAGAAGUCGCGACUUGCCGGUCCCCAGCGCUGCCCAAGAUCUUGGCACGCAUGUAGAAGGGGUCGACUAUCAUGAUGUCCGGGGUCUUGUCGCGAAUGAUCCGCAUCUCCAUACUCAGCGAAAAUAGCCGAAGGAAGGUGUAGUGCAGCGGAUGAAGGUUCAACAUAGCGUGGAUGUCAUCAAACCGCAGGACGAUCGUACCCCCGAUGGAGUUAUCCACAAAGCCCUUGCCCUCUGGCACCUUGGCCGCGAAAACCGGGUAUGCCACAUCCUUCUCUCCGAGACGCCGCUUCUCCAAAGAAAGAACACUGUCAUGCAGACUCCGCAUAGCACCGGUUGCAGCAUCGAGCAUAUUUCUCGGUAGCAUCGGCCUACCCGCCACAUGCACCCUCCUCGAGAUAUCCUCAGGUGAAGGUGGCCCGUCCUGAGCAUGGAUCGUACUCGGUGCCGGCUGGCCCGCACCCUUGUUAGUCUUUCUUUUGCGUGCCUUCUUCUUCUCCUGUAAUGGGACCGAGUUCUGCUCACAGACCGCCUUCUUGAGUAUGUUGGGGCUGAUCAUAUUUCGCACCUCGCCUAUCUGAGGCUCGGUGAAGUCGGCAGCUGGAGGCGUCUCCUGAGAGCUGAACUGCAGACGAUGCCUGUUGCAACUUGGCUUCUCCGCGGUACCAGCUAGAUCGCGCACGUCUUUUGUUGGGUUGGGUUCUUGAGAAGGAGGCCCCAUGAAGUCGCCACCCUACCCAUGAUCGGCAAAGUAUUGAUCGACGUUGGCAAAUGUAUCGUCGUCGUCGUCGUUCUGAUCCUGUGCCAUAUGCAUGUUUGGAUCCAGUGGCAUAGGGAUGUCCGGCACCGUUGCGGCGGUCUUGACAUGGGGCCGACUUGGCGCUGGCACGACUGGCGGUGUUGUCUUUGGGGUGGUGUCCCCCGCCCCCAAACGAAUCUGGCUCUUCGGCCAAAGCAGGGGCCAGCUCAGGCAGGCGCUGAGGGUCAUCACGUCAUCAUCGUCGGCCCUGACGGGUCGAAUCGGAGGUAACAACUCGUCGCAGCCUGGCACCACCCGAACCAGUUGAACCCUAAACAAGUUGGGUGGCAUCUGGGUACCGUGGAACAAGGGGUUGCCCGGUUGAACGAUUUUUCCCUUGGCGACAUCGACCAACUCGUUGUUCACGAAGUGCAGGAGAGUGCACGAAACGUCGGCGGCGCCCUGCGAAAACAUGUAGGGCGUCAGGGAUGCCCAGUCAAAGGCAAGGAGAUGAAGUCCUCGGCCGAGAGAGGCUUAAUUAGUUACCGUGAUGAUGGCGUCGAGCUCGGCUAAUGUCGAGGCACCGCCAACGGCGGGCGUGCAGUUGACGGAGGGGCCGCUUGCUGCAGAGGUGCCGGCCGGCGUACACCCGGGUGCAUUAAGCUCCCAUGCCGGCGUUGGAGACACCAAUGGCCCCGGCAUCGCAUUCUGCGAGUUGCUGGCUCUGAAGCUAGGAAUCGGGGGCGGCCCCUGUUGGCCGCCCGCAAUCCACGCACUAAUCCCCUGGAUCAAGGUAGGCACAAUGGCGGUGAUCGUCCUUGCGAGUUGUUGUUCCACUUGCUCCUGGACAAUCUCCGGAAUCCGCGCCACCUGUGCCCUGAGUUCUUGAACCUCGCGGGCCUGGCUUUCCGAGCUGGUCUUUUUCUGCUUUCACCCACCAGUGUUAUAGUAUGACGACCAUUUUGUCGACAAGCCUUUGCCGGCCACACGACCAGCUGACGUCGGCUUACUGAGCUUAUCCUUGUUCUUCAUUACAUUCAACGCCCUAUUUAGAGUGGUGUCCCAAGGGUUGCUCUUAGUCGACCCCGCGCUACUGCUUUCAGUCGCCUGCGGAAGGAAUGUGAACCAUUUAGAAAUUUGGCUUCAUUAAUUAGAAUGCAACCAUAUGGAGCUAAUUACACGGGGGUGUAUUCCUUACCAGAACAAGCUCAAGCGACCUGGUCUUCGGAUCCGUGGUAAGCUCCUUUGUUUUUGGGUCCUUCUUGUACCGGGCCCUGACAAAGUUCCUGGUCUACUUGUCACCGUAUUUAUUGAAGAGGGGCGGUAGGCCUUGCUCGGCACGGUCCGCCUCCUCCUUGUCCCAUAUAGGCUCCGCCACUCUGUAACCGCCGGGACCGAGUGUGUGUUCCCCUAAGUUCAGCUCCCGCAUUUCUUUCCCCCAGUUACUUGAUUCGGAGUUUGCGGUGCUCGAGCAAUUGAUCUUGAAGUCGUUGUAGUCAUCUUCGGUGAUCGAAGGAUUUUUCUCCUUGAUCUUCUCAUAAUUCUCACCUUUCUCGAUCAUUCUCUUCACAUUGCUUUUCCAAGUAGACAGGGCCUUGCUCAUCUUCGUGAGGGCAGCAUUGUUCACUUUAUUCCCUUUGAGGCUUGUGUUUUCAAAUUCAGCGGGGAACUUGUAUCGUUCGUGCAGCUUCGUGAAGAGGAGGUUGCGCAAAUUCCCUCGGUCAGGAUGCCUCGGGUUCUCGGUGUUGAUCGAGACGGUGCUCCGGAGAAUGCACCCGAGCUGAAGCGAGUACCCCUUGACUAUUCGUUCGGGCGCCGUUGGAUUCCCGUCGGAGUCCACUUCAGUAACUUCCUCCUUGAGGGUGCGGAGCACGGUCGAGCGCCGGUCCUUCUAUUGCCUCUUCGGUUGGCUGCCAUCUGUGCAUGCGCCGCCAUCAUCAGUGGUGGCAUCCUCGGCGGCACCACCAGUGGUGGCAUCAGUGGGGUCAUCCUCGGCGGUACCAUUAGUGGUCUCAGGAUCGGUGGGGAAGGCGGCGUCCUCAUACAAGUGAGGUUGUUCCUCCAUCUCCCGGGACAGCUCCCAGAAUGCCUUGACGCCCGAACCCCCGGCCUCAUCGUUGUUGGCCAUGUUUCUCUCUAAAUAGGAACAAAGUUUGGUCAAAAAGUUGGUUAUUGUCAAGGAACAAGAUCAUGGUCUCAUCAUUUAGGGUUUGUCGACACCGAGGCAUCCUAAAAGCUAAGCUUUUAUCAUUGAGGGUUUUUCGACGCCGAGGCACCCUAAAAGCCUAAGCUUUCAUUAUUUCGGUUUUUAUCGACACCGAGGCACCCUAAAAGCCAUGCAUUAGUCACAAGUACGUUGGGGCACUUGAUCCUACUUAAUUAACUACUAAGAUACCCCGGCCCAUGCAUUAGUCACAAGUACCCCAUAUGUCCUAUUUUUAGCAAAGUCAUGCUAAAAUUCACGGAAAAUUUCAGCAUGACCUUUGCUGAAAAUAGGACAUAUGGAGUACCCGAAUUUGCCGGAACGGAAGUUAAUCGACAUUCCAGCAAACUCAAGGGCCUCUCGGGUGGACAAGGCAAAAAAGGCCUCCAUCACAACAUGGAAAAUACAUUCGCAUGUGAAGAGGUGAAACAAUAUAUGCAUCUCCAAGCAGUAUCAUUCAACAUUUUGGACAAACCACUACAAGCAAUACUGGACCAUUUCUCCCCCAAUGCAUCAUAGCAACAUUAUUUGGGUACCUAUAUGGUAUUAACAUGCCAUUCUCUGUCAACAGAAGUAGCACAAAAUCAUUCAAGUACCAGUGUUUAACUAAAACUUGGUGUGAAUAAGAUCCUCUGUCAGUACUUCAUACCAAUAAUCAAAACCCCAAAACCAGACCCCAACUAGUUACCAUAAGGUCAAAUACUGUCCACAAAACCAUAACAGAAAUAGCAAGUCAAAUUUACACAACUGGAGUAGUUCAAGAUAUUGAAUCUUGGUUUUAACCAAACAGUAUUUAUACUCCCCUUUCAUUUAAAUACACAGCAAAAUAUUCAUUUAAAUACACAGUACUGACAAAAUUCAUCUAAUUCUACUGGAGUAAAAAGGUUUCAUUUAACUUAAAAGAUUCAGAAAAGAGCAAGCAGGAGCACACUACUGCACAACUUAACUGAAUUUUUUACUCCAACAAUACCGAUACACUUGCUACUCCAGUACUGUACUUCAUGUGGAAAAGUAACAGUAGCUACUGAUGCUACUCCAAAACGCAUGCACUCCACUGCAAGCACAUAAUCUUUUAUUCAAGUAAUAGUGUAUGAUGAAUUUGAUUAUUCAGACUUAAGUUGCUUCAAGUGAUGUCACUAGUUUCAGUUAACUAGAGUACUAUAGCAAAUGGAGUACCUAAUCUGAUCCAGUUAAAGUCUCCAGAUGGAGUACCAAAUGGAGUACUACAGCUGCUGCACUUGCUACACCAAAACAGCUACUGAUCAAGUACCAGAGUACUCCAGUUGAUCAAGCAGCAGUAGAAAGACUGUAAGUGUUUAAAUUUAGUUGAUCAAGCAGACUCGUCAAAGUACUACUGCAAGUGUUUAAGUUCAGUCAAGUAUACUACUGCAGGUGUUUAAUUAAAAGAAAAGUGCUUCAUGAUUCUCUUUAUGUCAGGCUACAACGCCCAGUUGUGGAACAGGAAGAAAUACUGCAGUUUCUGAAUACAGAUUGUCUUUGUUCCAGUUAAUGGAUACUAUGCCUGUUGGCUCUACAAACUUACUUUUGAAGCACAAAACAGUGAAGGGGUCGAGGUCGUACCAAACUAAGGCGUCCGUCGGUGGUGGCUGGCCGGUGCUCCUCUCCUCUUGUAGCUGCAGCGGUAGGAGAAGAGCCCCUGCCCGCGGAGUGGAGGGGAUCUUCGCGCGGAUGGGGAUAGAGCUCGAGGCAGUCCACGGACGGCGGCGCCUGGUCGUCGCGGCGGAGGAGGGCCGGUGGUCGCGGGGACGAGGUGGUCGCGGGGACGAUGCGGUGUCGAUGGGGACGACCUAGUCGGGUGAAGCAGCGCGAGGGGAGGGGAAGUGGGGAGGUGCAGAGGUGUGGAGCGGGCGCGGGGGUCGUCGGAGCGGGCGCGGGGGAGCCGGAGCGGGUGUGGAGCGGGCGCGGGAGUCGGCGGCGGCGGUGGAGAGCGGUCACGGGGAGCGCGGGGAGGCUCGCGCUGNNNNNNNNNNNNNNNNNNNNNNNNNNNNNNNNNNNNNNNNNNNNNNNNNNNNNNNNNNNNNNNNNNNNNNNNNNNNNNNNNNNNNNNNNNNNNNNNNNNNNNNNNNNNNNNNNNNNNNNNNNNNNNNNNNNNNNNNNNNNNNNNNNNNGGGGGCGCGUGGGCGGCUGCGGCGCAGUGGGUCGGGGCAGCGGCGGCGGCGGCGCGGUGGAGGGAGGGACGAGGGAAGGAGCGGCGCGGUGGAUCGAGGGAGAGGGAACUGGCGAGGGGGAGAGGGAAGGGGGGAUCGGGCGAAGGGGUGCACAAUACUAAUGGCGCACCACCCCUAGGGGCGCCAUAAGUACAUCCAUACUAAUGGCGCACCUCACCGUGGUGCGCCAUUAGUAUUUUUUUUAUUUCUGCUCGAGCCAACAGGUUAUCUUCCACCUGACCUGAUCCACACCAAGUUCCCUCUACUAGCUCGACUGGUCAGCAGCUAGUUCUCACGCCAGGAGGUCCUGGGUUCGAUUCCCAGGCUCCACAAAUUGUUUUUAUGCAUUUAAAAUGCUGUUUGAUACUUAUUUGUGUUUAAAUAUGUUCAAACUUGUUUAAAUCAUAACAGUAAUAUUUUUUUAUAAGACAGUAAUAAUUUUUUAAAAAAUAUCAUCAAACAGUANNNNNNNNNNNNNNNNNNNNNNNNNNNNNNNNNNNNNNNNNNNNNNNNNNNNNNNNNNNNNNNNNNNNNNNNNNNNNNNNNNNNNNNNNNNNNNNNNNNNNNNNNNNNNNNNNNNNNNNNNNNNNNNNNNNNNNNNNNNNNNNNNNNNNNNNNNNNNNNNNNNNNNNNNNNNNNNNNNNNNNNNNNNNNNNNNNNNNNNNNNNNNNNNNNNNNNNNNNNNNNNNNNNNNNNNNNNNNNNNNNNNNNNNNNNNNNNNNNNNNNNNNNNNNNNNNNNNNNNNNNNNNNNNNNNNNNNNNNNNNNNNNNNNNNNNNNNNNNNNNNNNNNNNNNNNNNNNNNNNNNNNNNNNNNNNNNNNNNNNNNNNNNNNNNNNNNNNNNNNNNNNNNNNNNNNNNNNNNNNNNNNNNNNNNNNNNNNNNUGGACCGGGGGGUGCUCGGCGGCGAGGGGGACCGGAUCUGGCGAGGUGGGAUAGCGAUCGAGAUGGAGGGGGAUCGAGAUCGAGUGUCCAUGAAAUUUAAAAAUAUUCAUGAUAGUUCAAAAAGUGCCCAUGAAAUACAAUCGAGAAAUGAAGGCUACAAUUUAAAUACAAUCGAUCUUAGCUAGCUAUCUGUUCACAAUCUUCUUGCCCUUCUUUUUCGCAAAUGGAGUUCUUCUGUGGAACGGACGUCCUUUAGGUAGGGUGGUCCUGCUUCUUCUUGUGGUGUAUGCUGCUACUUCAUCAUCGUCGUCAUGUUCGAUCCUCGGGUCGCCGUACUUGUCGAAGUCUUGCUCAUUGGCUACUCCAUCCAUUCCGAUGAUCUUCCUUUUGCCUCUCUUCACGACAACACGACUGGGCUUUGACGGGUCGGUAAUGAAGAAGCAUUGGUCCACUUGGGAAGCCAGUACCCAUGGCUCAUUUUUCGCGGUGACGUUUGCGUCCGCGGUCUUGGAUUUGGCUUCGGGUAUAACCAUGGUCGUGAAAUACCGGUCUUCUUUUAGGACGCUCUUGGCCCAUCUGACACGGAACAUCAGGACCUUCUCUCCAGCGUAGCUCAGCUCCCAGAUCUCCUCGAUCCUUCCGUAGUAUCUGUCCUUGUCGUUACCGGUGUAGGAUUCCAUCAUUACCCCGGAGUUCUGAUAACCAUCGCUCUUCAUGUCCUUGGCCUCGGUGUAGAAUGUGUAGUCGUUGAUAUCGUACGCCUCAUAGGUCAUCAGGUUGUGCUCGGCGCCCUGUGACAAGGCGAAUAUGAGUUGUUCUUCCGCGGAAGAAUCCUCAUGUAAAGGGUACGACAGAAGCUUCUGCUUGAACCAACGCGUGAAACAUGAGUUGUGCUCUUUGAGUAUAUCUCCGUCCGUCUUCUGUUAGCCUCGGUCAUUGUACGUCUUCUUAAUAAAGGUUUUGUGCUCUACCACCCAAGGAUCGACCACGUCUAUGUGUUGUAGCGCGACUAGGUUUGCUCUUUCAAAGUCGGCGAGUCGACUCUCGAAGUCGACAUGCAUUUCGCGGCGACCCUCACGGUGACCCCAUCCAGUGAGCCUGCCGAGGUGCCUGUUGACGGGCAAACCAACGGGGUUCUCGGUGCCUAAAUAAUUCGUGCAGUAGGAGAUGCACUCUUCGGUCAGAAAGCCCCUGGCUAUGCUUCCCUCUGGACGUGACAUGUUGCGAACGUAUCCUUUGAUGACACCAUUCAUCCUUUCGAACGGCAUCAUGUUGUGCAGGAAUGUCGGCCCGAGUUGGAUGAUAUCGUCCACGAUAUGGACUAGCAGAUGCACCAUAACGUCGAAGAAUGCGGGCGGGAAGUACAUCUCAAGCUCGCAUAGUAUCACCACGAUCUCUUCCUGUAGCCUUCUGAGUUGCCUCACGCCAACAGACUUCCGAGAGAUGACAUCGAAAAAGUUGCAUAGGCCAAAUAGGGUUUCACGGACGUGCACGUCCAUGAUCCCACUGAUUGCAACUAGAAGUAUCUGCGUCAUCAGCACGUGACAGUCGUGAGACUUCAUCCCGCUGAACUUCAGCUUCGCUGGGUCUAGGUAUCUGCUUAUCUUCCCCGCGUAACCGUAAGGAAGUUUUACUCCUACGAGGCAGGUGAAAAACUGCUCGAUCUCCUCCUGACUUAGAGUGAAGCACGCGGGAGGGUAGUCAUUUCCGGUCUUUUUGGCCUUUUUGCCUUUGCGACGACUUUCCGUGUCCUGCUUCGCCUCAUCAUCAUCAUCAUCAUCAUCAUCAUCAUCAUCAUAUAUAGCGUGAAGCUCCUGCCUGAUGCCCAUUGAUUUCAAGUCUGCCCUUGCUUUCGGCCCAUCUUUGGUCCUCUCUGGCAUGUUGAGCAGGGUACCAAGCAGACUCUCGCACACGUUCUUCGUGAUAUGCAUGACAUCAAGGCUGUGAGGCACACGGUGGAUCUUCCAGUACGGCAAAUCCCAGAAAACAGACCUCGUUUUCCAUACCUUCAGCAGCGGCUCUGGCGCCUUUCGCUUCUUUCCCGGCUCUGGUGCCUUUUGCUUCUUUCCCGGCAGUGGGCAGUCUUUCCAAUUUUUCAACAGCUCGUCUAUUUCCUCGCCGCUCCUCGUACGCGGGCGUCCUCGGGGUUCGGUUUCACCAUCGAACAGAUCCUUGCGUUUUCUCCACGGGUCAUCGUCGCGAAGCCACCUUCAAUGUCCCAUGAACACGGUUUUCGAAGACCCGGGAUCUCUAUCUAGCUGGCGAUACGUUGUGUCAUCCAUGCACCUGACGCAUCCAGAACAUCCGUGGACCACCUGCCCCGCGACAUAUCCGUAACUGAGAUAGUCGUGCACCGUCGUGAGCAGUGCGGCUCUCAUAGGGAAAUAUUCUUUCUCUGCGGCGUCCCACGUAUUGGCUGGCGUUUUCCACAGCGUGUCAAGCUCCUCUUUCAGCAGCCCCAGAUACAGAUUGAUGUCGUUCCCUGGUUGUUUCGGUCCUUCAAUUAGCAUACUCAUGUGAAUGUACUUCCUCUUCAUGCACAACCAGGGGGGAAGGUUGUACAUCCACACAAACACAGGCCAGGUGCUAUGUGUGCUUCUUUGGCUGCCAAACGGAUUGACUCCAUCUGUGCUCACGCCCAGCACGAUGUUCCUUGGAUCGUUCCCAAAUUCUGGGUCUUCGAAGUUCAACGCUUGCCACUGGCUCGCAUCCUUAGGGUGACUCAGCAUCUUGUCUUUUUUAUCUAUCUCCGGAUCAUUUGCGUCAUCUUCUCGCUUCUUCUCCUCCCUAUCCGCGUGCCAACGCAGGAGCUUUGCUACCUUAGGGUCCGCGAAAUACCGCUGCAGACGAGGAGUGAUCGGAAAGUACCACACCACUUUUUGAGGAGCUUUCUUCCUCUUCUUGUAUCGAGUGACGCCGCACACCGAACAUAUGGUAGACUCCGCGUGCUCGUCCCGAUAAAUGAUGCAAUUGUUCAUGCACACAUGGUAUUUCACGUGCGGUAAAUCCAGAGGACACACGAUUUUCUUCGCCUCCUCCAAACUGGUCGGGCACUUGUUCCCCUUGGGAAGACACUCGUGCCAGAAUGACAUGUUCUCGUCGAAGCAUGCGUCGGUCAUUUUGUGUUUUACCUUCAUCUCCAGAGCCAUGAGCGUUACUUUCAGGCGGCUAUCCUCGGGCCUGCAUCCUUCAUACAAUGGAGUAACCGCGUCUAACUCAAGUUGAUCCAUCUUGGCUUUCUCUCGGGCGGCAGCUCUUGCGUUAUCCGUCUGCUUGAGAAGCAGCUCUUGAAUAUGAGGGUCCUGCACCCAGCCCAUCGAUGGUCCAGCGUCGUCUGCUCCGCCGGCAUCAUCAUCUUCAUGAUCAUGCCCGUCGUCUGCUCCGGCAUCUUCCUCAUCAUCAUGUCCUGCAUCUUCUGGAUGACUGUGUACAGCAUCACCGUCAUGAUCAUCUCCUGGGGAUUCUUCGUCUUCUUGCCCGCCCGAGCCGCGGUGGUUGUCUUGCUGCCCUUCCUCAUUUCUUGCCCGGCCCCCAUGGACGACUUCGUAGUCAUCUUCAUCACCUUGCCACCGAUAGCCAUCCAUGAAACCACGCAAGAGCAGGUGGUCCCGCACCUGCCCGGAUUUCGGGUCCGCAAUAAGGCUCUUCAGCUUGCAUCUUCGACACGGACAUCUUAUCUCCGUCUCGUUCUUUUGAAGCAUCUCGGCCUUCGUGGACCUCAAAAACCUAUUCACGAUGCCUUCGGUCAUCGUGUGGACCAUGGUCGCCUGCGGGGUAGAGCAAAACGAUAUUUUGGCAUGACUUUCCCUAAAAAUAGGACCAAAAAGAAUGCUUAAUGCCAAAAUUCUCGCCGAAACGGAAAUGAAUCAACAUUCCGGCAAAAAAUUGGCAACUAUCGCAUUUUAAAUACCGGUACACCUCCAAACACAAACACAUAUGCAACACCACAAACAUAUGCAACACCACGAACAUACAUAGAUCUAGCUAGGCCAUAAAAAGUGCAUGUGCACAUUGUUGUAGGGAGAACAACAUAAAUAUAGCUUCCUCCCUUACUUACCUAUUAAAACAAGGUAAUUUAACCACUUAAAUUGAAUGAAUCUAUGGUGGAAAUGAGGUGAAAAAGAGGAGGCACCCAAGACAAGGAGGAGGUGGAGAGAAUGAAGUGGGGAGAAAGUGAGUGUGGGUAGGAGAGGCUGUCCAAAAUAUCUUGUUGCUGCCCACUUACUAAUGGCGCACCAAAUCUAAAUGCGCCAUUAGUAAUCCAGGUUACUAAUGGCGCACCUUCUGGUGGUGCGCCAUUAGUAGUUUUGCAAAAAAAAAACAUACUAAUGGCGCACUGUUCCACAGUGCGCCAUUACUAGUUUAAACUAGUAAUGGCGCACGGUCGAACAGUGCGCCAUUAGUAGUUUUGCAAAAAAAAGGAAUAAAAAAUAUAAUAAAAAAAACAACAUUAGUGGCGCACUUUCCGACAGGUGCGCCAUUACUAGUUACAACUAGUAAUGGCGCACUGUGUCUGGAUGCGCCAUUAGUAUGUUUGGACAGGCGCACUAGUUCAAAAAAAAUUUGGAUACUAAUGGCGCACCCUGGGCUAGGUGCGCCAUUAGUAGUUUCAGCUCUAAUGGCGUAUCAGAAGGUGGUGCGCCAUUAGUAUAUACUAAUGGCGCACCGCUUGUCUGGUGCGCCAUUAGUGUCAAUCCCAUCUAUAGCCCUUUUUCUAGUAGUGACUAAUGCGGGUAAAGUGGCUUUAAUUAAUGCUUGUCUUUCCUCCCUCCCCAUGUUCUUGAUGGGAUUCUAUCUCUUGUUGGCUUGGAUUCAUGCAGGUUUUGAUAAACACCGUGGGGCUUUCUAUUGGAACACGACGGACAAUCGCCGCAAAUACCGCUUUGUUAAGUGGAACUUGAUGUGCAGGCCCAAAAACCUUGGGGGGAGGGGUAGGGAUCCUUAAUACUUCCAUCAUGAACCAAUGCUUGAUGAUCAAAUGGUGGUGGAAGAUUAUGAGUGCUGAGGAUCAGCCCCUCUGGCUGUCGAUUCUUCAGGCUAAAUAUUUCCCGUCCUCCAGCCCGAUGUUUGCUCAGUCGCGUGAUGGCUCUCAGUUUUGGAAGUCCUUGGUCAAAGUUAGACAUGUGUUCCAAUCUUUUGUUAAGUUUGUUGUUGGGAGUGGCUCCUCGAUUAGGUUUUGGCUUGAUUGGUGGUGCGGAGACUCACCCCUCUCGGUGUCCUUCCCCACCCUUUUCUCUUAUUGUUCUGAUCCUAGCAUUUCUAUUGCGGAGUUGGCUGCCCAGGGGUGGAACUUGGUCUUCCGCCGCUCCCUGUCGCCUGUAGAGUUUGAAGAAUAGCAACGUCUUACUGCCUUCUCCCCAUCGCUCUCGACGAAUAGGGAUUCGGUAGUCUGGCCGUUGUCUGCCUUUGGGCGCUUCUCUGUUAAGUCGCUUUAUUCUAGGCUUGUUGGUGGCACGCCCACUAAUCGGUUUUCCCAGAUCCGGAAGGCCCGUAUUCCUCCCAAAAUCAAGAUUUUCUUGUGGCAAGCUUUCAGAGGCCGGUUGCCCUCGGCUGAUCAAAUUCGUAAGAGAAAUGGGCCGGGCUCCCAGUUCUGUGCUUUGUGCGGUGCUGCGGAGGACACGGACCAUACUUUUUUCCAUUGUGCCCUGGCAAAACUCAUUUGGAGCUGCGUUAGGGAGUGGCUUCUUGUCUCUUGGGCCCCUGGCUCCUUCUCUGAGUUGCGCAGCUUGGCUGACAAUCUUUCGGGUGUAUCUAGACAUAUCUUUUGGGUGGGCCUAGGUUCUUUUUGCUGGUCCCUUUGGACGACUAGGAACAAAUUUACUAUUGAACGUGUGUUUCUGGCUAAACCUGCUAACUGCUUGUUUAAAUCAUGUGCUUUCAUGCAGCAGUGGAAAUCAUUGACUAAGGUCAACGACCAACAGGCGCUCUCUCUGCUGAUCUCCAAAGUCCGGGCUACGGCAUCCCAGUUAUGCAGACAGGAGCGGGAUGUUUAAGUGCUUCUUUUGGUUCGGGUGCUUUACCUUCAGUUGGUCAUUCUCUUUCGGCCUGCGUGCCGUGUACUGGCGAGGGUGCCAUGUACCUGACUGUCUUUUCUUCCGUCUCGCCCGUCGUUGGGGCCUGGGUGUUGUUUGGUACUUCUCUGUGAUGUGGUUGUUACUUGCCGUAUGGCUUUAUUUAUAAAGUCGGGCGUAUGACUUUUCUCUAAAAAAAAUAACUCCAAUACUAAGGUACUCUCUAAAGUCAAAUAAUUGGACAUCAUAUCACACGCGGCAAUUGCAGAGGCCGGGGCCUGACCCCUUUUCAAAAAAGAAAAAAACUUGCAGCAGCAAUGCACUAAGCCAGAACAAGGUAAUUGAUGAAAUCUUCCGUGUUAGGAGCCAAAGUUUUCAUGCCGAGUUUUCAUGCCAUCACGUGUGGCCAUUUCAUCGUCCUCAAACUGAUACGCCGGGGCGCAGGUCACUCCAACGAAAGAAUAGUGCAGGUCAGGGUCCCGUCCGGAUGUCUUGACAAAAACACGGCCAUCAUCAGUGAAGUAUUCGAUGUCUUGGGUCAGGAAGGUGCCAAACCACACAUUCGGAGGGACCGUCUACUGUGGUCUCUGCCCUUUCGGUAGAUCGAGACAGACUACUGUCAUCUUGACUUCCUCAUCAUCGUCCACCUCAAAUACAUGAAAUGGGUAUUAUUGGAUAGAUGGACAGUAUGCUUACAGAAUGCCCCGAGCGCAACGGCGUCCUCGGGGUCUGCUCUCUUGAGGUGCAAAAUCGCGGCCUCCUCCUCAAGCUCCUCCAUCGGCUACACCAACUGCAACAAUCUGCUUGGGCGGUUUGGUUCUGGCGGGAGUUUCAGGGGUGCGAGGACAAACGUGCACUUCUUACGGCUGUCUGGCACCCUGUCUCACAGCUGAGCCCCCCUGUACAGUACAGGGACGUCACCACGGUGGAGCUUGGGGACGGCAGAAAAACCUCCUUCUGGUCGGACUCCUGGAGCAGCGGUGGAUGGACCGCUUCGGCUCAAGUUCCCAACACUCUACUCCCAUGCCACUGAUUUUUUCGCCUCCGUCAGCAAGUUCCUAUCUUCCGAGCUUCGUUCCUGCUUUGCACCCAGGCUAUCGUCGGUGGCCGAAGAAGAGUUCAAAUGCCUCGCGGCAGCCAUCCCCCAGCAGCCGUUUCCUGGCGCUGAAGACUGCCGGGUGCUGAGAUCCAGCAUUGACAGGCAGCAAAGCCUUCACAUCCUCUGUUUACAAGCUGAUCACCUACUCUGGGUGUGACGGCGUGGCGUUCCGGCUGAUGCGCCCGAACUUGCGGUGCCUCAACGCUGUUGUGACCUCAAAACUUGGGCCUUCCAUUCAAAACCUGAUGCUAGGGCCUCGAUCCUGUCCUGGGUGCCGUUCCCGUUCAUACAUGCUCUGUGCGUCUAGCUUAUGGAGCUGCCUCUGAACCUCUCUACCCUGUCUCUGUACCUCCUCAUUUUGUGUAGUUCAGCUUCAACUUGUUUGCCCAGUUGCAUACAUGGUGCUUGAAAAAGUAUUUAUGGAUAGGUUCAAGAUAAGGCUUACAACCAUAGGUUUGAGUGUCUCUCCUAUUCAGUCUGUUUGUUGUAACAUCUGAAAGUUAAGGGUGAUGGCUCAUGUGAUCUGAGAGAUAAUUCAAUGUCUCUUUGUUCUGACAGUGGGGCUCAUAGGCACAAGGAUGACAAAUCCUUUGAAUGUUUAUGUGUCUUGUCAUAGCCCCAAACUCACAAGUUAAAGCAAAAUUAUACCACAAAAUUGGCUAAGCAAAGUUGUAUGACAACACACGACCAUAAAUAAUUUAAUGUUUUAGGCUGAUGUCACCAAGUCAUAGGUUUUGAUGGUACUCCCUCCGUUUCUUUUUACUCCACGUAUAAGAAUUCUCCAAAGUCAAACUUCAUAAAGUUUGAACAAAUUUAUAUUAAAAAGUAUCAACACCUACAAUAUUAAAGUUAUACAAUAUGAAAAUUAAUUCCAUGAUGCAUCUAAUGAUAUUGAUUUCAUAUUGUGAAUGUUGAUUUUUUUUCUAACAACAUGGUCAAACUUUUACAAAGUUUGACUUCGAACAAAUCUUAUAUGCUAAGUAAAAAGAAACAUAGGGAGUAUAUGUUGGAGACAACAAACAUUUUGGUUUGGUUAUGACAUGCAUAAUUUACUUCGCCAGCAAAAAUGCAGAAGUAUAAAAGAUAUAGAAACCUCUCAACAUAAUUUUAUUGAUUAAUGCUCAUAAACCAGCAGAUCCGCGUGCAAGCUUCAGAAAAACAAGCACUAACUGAUGGAUACUUACAAGAAAAAAAACUAAUGGAUUAAAAAUAUUUGUUGGAGAUCCUAGAGAGAAGAUUUUCAUUUUACAAACCUGUCAUUUGUGACUUACCAUUGAUGAGAAUUCCUAAAUGCUCCACAUGCGCGGGCACCCACGGUUAGCAGGCAUCACCACAAGCAGUCACAAAUCGACAGGGUGCCACCUACGGCUAGCAACGUCUGUGCCGUCUUGCAAGUCUGCAAGUAUUCGAGGAGGAGUGUCAGAGCACACGAGGCAAUACUAGGCAAUAGCUACAAAGUGCAUUAAUCGGUGCUUUGAUUUUUUGGUUCACUAGUUAUAACAUCAUGGAACGCGAUCAAGAAUUGUUGAUGAAAUUAGACGGCCUUGGGGCCAGUCUUGUAACUUUUGCCUGAGUUAGUGAUUGGUGCCAUUCCGACAAGUCAGGCUAAAAAGCAAACAAAUCUGGAGGCUCUACUUUAAAACAGACUGAUCGCAAAUUUGUUGCCCUGCUGUAAGGCUGAAUGAUUAAAUCCAUCAAGCCAUGUUGCAUUUUGUCUGGCAGCCCCCCUCUCUCAUGCCUCUUCCCCCCAUACUUACUGAACCAGAAGCAAUGCGAGUGCUGGUACAUUAAAGAUGGCAUGAUAAUGUGGUGCGUAGCCCAACUACAGCAUGUUGGUCUAAUGGCAUGUACAAAGAUAUAGACGAAGGAUCUGAGUGCUGGUACAUAAAAAAUGACUGCGCCGUCCGGCCCGGGGGAUGAGGCUCGGAGCUAAGCACGACUGAGUGGAUGUUGCAAUUCGAGUUAUUCAUCAAAAAUUCCCGGUGCCUUCUAUGCCCAUGUCUAUCAAAUUCAAAUGCCUUUAGCAAAGAGGCAUGACAAAUAUUGCACGAAAUGGAAUUCUAAGGCAGAAGUAAACUGAGGAACGAGUUAUUCCUUAGGGAAGACUUGCUCCUUAUAAAAGAGUUAUGCGGUAGACAGUGGUAUGAAAUUAUUGGUCCUCUGGUAGGUCAAUAGCUAUGAAUCCUUUGGUUACGAGCUUGCUCCUUUGGUAGGUUAUAAGCCACUAUAAGAGCUUUAUCGAUGUUUUAAACAAAUUUUUCUUACCCUUUUCAACCUAUACAUCUAGACGAUGUACCUACCAAAAAAAACAAUGUAUUAUUACAAAGUUCAUGAAAAAUAAAGACUAACAACUAGCAUUCCAUCACCAAAGAGAAAACACAGGCUAAGUAGAACCAACAUCGCUUAACAACUUAUCAUGCAGCGAUCAAAUGAACGCUAAAUUGGGAGUCACGUGAAUGAUUCCAUUCAAAUUUUGGUAGUUUAUCCUUAUGUCUGUUGUUAUGAGCGUCACUAGUUCAUGCACUUCUCAUUAUUGAUAAGAACGACACCCACCAGGCAUAAACAGAACGACAGAAACACAUAUCACCAGUGGAUGGUAUUUAUUCAUGAAAAAAGAGCAAACCUUACUGAACUUGCAUACUUGAUUACAUGAGUAUCAACUUCCAUACUGAACUACUCUCUAAAGUCAAAUAAUUGAAACCCAUACACAUUAGUUUUCAAUAACUAGCAGAUAGAAGAUGUUCACCACAAACAACAACCUACUUGCAGCAGCAAUGCACUAAGCUGGAACAAGGUAAUUGAUGAAAGCUUCCGCGUUAGGAGCCAAAGCUUUCAUGCCAUCGCGUGUGGCCAUUUCAUCGUCCUCGAAUUGGUAUGCCGGGGCACAGGUCACUCCAACGAAAGAAUAGUGCAGGUCAGGGUCCCGUCCAGGUGUCUUGACAAAAACACUGCCGUCAUCAGUGAAGGACUCAAUGUCGUGGGUCAGGAAGGCGCCAAACCACACAUACGGAGGGACCGUGUACUGCGGUCUCUGCCCUUUCCGUAGAUCGGGACCGACUACUGUCAUCUUGACUUGCCCAUCAUCAUGCACCUCAAAUACCUGAAAUGGGUAUUAUAUUGGAUAAGAUGGGCAGCAUACUUAGAAAAUGAUCAGCAACUUUGUUUUGCGCUAAGUUUGCAGACCGUGAGGGGCUCCCCCAUGUAGUAGUGCCAUGCCUCAGCGCAAGGGAUGCGGUGCAGCCGAGCGAUCUCCCCAGCAGGCAGCAGGAAAUAGAUUGCACUACUCACAGCACGGUCCACCUUAUCUAGAAGAAUUAAACACGAAGUAACAAAUUAGGAAAGACCUAUUGCUUAACAGAAGUUAUUCUUCAGAAACCUCAGCACAUCCAACUGAUCAACUUAUGAGUUUCCUUGUUACCAACUUUAGAAACUAACACAUAUCAGAAACGACUAGACAUUGCACUUAUAUUAGCCAAUUACGGAAGUUUUGAGUGCAUGGUGCUUGUAAAAAGUAUUUAAGGAUACGCAGCAGAUAAGGCUUACUACCAUAGGUACGAGUGUCUCAGUUAUUCAGUUUGUUUGAUAGUUUGUUUGUUCUAACAUCUGAAAGUUAAUGUAGUGAUGGCUCAGGUGAGCUAACAGAUUGUCUCGUUAUUCUGACAAGAGGGCUCAUAGGCACAAGGAUGCAAAAUCCUUUGAAUGUUGAUGUGUGUUGUCAUAGCCCCAAACUGACAAGUCACAGCAGAAUUAUAGCACAAAUUUGGCUAAGCUGAGUUGUAUAACAAUAG
Molecule: long non-coding RNA, 30190 nt
Filed under: Triticum aestivum (bread wheat)
Lineage: Eukaryota; Viridiplantae; Streptophyta; Magnoliopsida; Poales; Poaceae
Description: long non-coding RNA (TAES_LNC014321)
Source: RNAcentral